CAAGCAAGCUGGACAGCCGCGGGGGCAGGCCGAAAGGCCGUCCGUGAGGAAAGUCCGGGCUCCAUAGGGCAAGAAUAACGGGUAACGCCCGCCGAAGGCGACUUCAGGACAAGUGCAACAGAGAGAUACCGCCCGGCUCCGGCCGGGUAAGGGUGGAAAGGUGAGGUAAGAGCUCACCCGCCGGCGCGGAAGUGUCCGGUGCUGUAAACUCUAUUCGGAGCAACACCGUGGAGGGGAACAUGACUGGCCCGGUCUCCCCGGGGAGGUGGCUGGAGCGUGCCGGCAACGGUACGCCUAGAUAGAUGGCUGUCAAAACAGAACCCGGCUUACAGGCUUACUUGCACC
Molecule: non-coding RNA, 345 nt
Organism: Firmicutes bacterium CAG:114
Lineage: Bacteria; Bacillati; Bacillota
Rfam family: Bacterial RNase P class A
About the family: Ribonuclease P (RNase P) is a ubiquitous endoribonuclease, found in archaea, bacteria and eukarya as well as chloroplasts and mitochondria. Its best characterised activity is the generation of mature 5'-ends of tRNAs by cleaving the 5'-leader elements of precursor-tRNAs.
Source: Rfam